RNAcentral lists this ribosomal RNA (459 nucleotides) under uncultured bacterium. Its description in RNAcentral is "partial 16S ribosomal RNA". It matches the Rfam family "Bacterial small subunit ribosomal RNA", at positions 338 to 795 of the family's 1533-position model. The record is from RNAcentral.
CCUACGGGUGGCAGCAGUGAGGAAUAUUGGUCAAUGGGAGAGAUUCUGAACCAGCCAAGCCGCGUGAGGGAAGACGGCCCUAUGGGUUGUAAACUUCUUUUGUCGGAGAAUAAAAUUCGGUAUGUGUACCGUUUUGUGUGUACCCGAUGAAUAAGGAUCGGCUAACUCCGUGCUAGCAGCCGCGGUAAUACGGAGGAUCCGAGCGUUAUCCGGAUUUAUUGGGUUUAAAGGGUGCGUAGGCGGACUGUUAAGUCAGUGGUAAAAUUUUAGGGCUCAACCGUGACGUGCCGUUGAGACUGGGUGACUUGAGUUGACGAGAGGUAGGCGGAAUGCGCGGUGUAGCGGUGAAAUGCAUAGAUAUCACGAAGAACUCCGAUUGCGAAGGCAGCGUACCGGCGCCAAACUGACGCUGAGGCACGAAAGCGUGGGGAUCGAACAGGAUUAGAUACCCCUGUAGUC